UGAGUGACGGGAGUCUGUUUGUUCUCUGUCUGUGCGUGAACUUUUUUUCUUCUUAUUUGCCAACUUUAUACAUGCAAUUACUUAUACAUCUACGACUAUUGAAGUGGUUUUGUGUCUGUGUGUGAUUCCUACUAAAUGCCCAGCGGAGUCUCGAGAAUUAGGUUACUACGCCAACUACCCGCGCAACUGUUACACGCCUUUCUGACCGUAAUGAGGCGACGGAGGAGAGGGAGAGUGAGAGGACCUUCAUCCAUCACUGAGGGGGAGGGGCGAGGACUGACACAGCUUCUAUCUGUCCAUCUCGCGUGUGGGGAACCAAGCGUUGGACAAACUCUCUCCUCCUCUGCUCGUCUGCUGCUGAAGUCCUCCUGCCGCAGUAAGCAACGCAAAGUCUGCUGGUCGCCGGGGUUUGUCUCCAUGCUGCGAUAAAGACAUGGAGGACGGAGGACGAAGAGUGACUCUCAUGUAACUGCCUUGACGUCCCUAGUUACCUGACACGUUGAAACAGGUUCCGGGUUCCUGGACCUGAGCCGUGACCCAAGACUCGGGAACCGGAUCAUGAUGACCCAACAGAAUAAAGUGAUCUGUUGUGAUCUUGCUGGGGAGGUGGGUAUAACGACAACGAUAAGAAACACGGUGGUAAAGAGCCCAUCACGGACCACAGGCCUCAGCGGCCUCGCGCCUCCGGCACUCGGCGACCUCGCCGCGCAUGAGGCAGUGGCACUGCAGGACGACGUCUCUGUGACCCUUGAUGUGAAGGGUUUGCCUGACCCACACGAUGCUGACGCCGUGGUUCCACUGCAGAUCCUCCAGCAGGCGGUCACUGGGCCCUGCGAGGCGGGCCAUGAAUCUGUGAGGCAUGGUGAGGCUACGGUAAGCGUAGGAAGCUGUGGCGGCCGCUGGUGAAGGGACCUCGCCUUGACGGGAAUCAUCCCUGCCUCUGGCACUUUGACUGCACCGAGAGGCUUCCCCUAGCUCAGGGGCGCCUCGUGUGCAACAGUGCCAUCCAUAUCAGUGGCUUCCUCAACCUUGUUGACAUCGUCAAGGUCUUUCAUCGCAAACACCCUUUCCGGAAGAGCCUUCCAUUCAUUGUAGGUGUUAUCAUCAUUGUCCACCGAAAACACCUUUUGCAUGUAAAGCUUCCAUUCAUUGUAGUGUCAUCAUCAUUGGCAGAGUCUUCAUCAUCAUCUUCAACAGAAAACACCUUUUCCAUAUAAACCUUCCAUUUGUUGUAGGUGGCGGCAUCAUUGUCUAUGUUUUCUUCAUUCCAUUCAUUGGCCCGUCGGAAUCAAGUGAUGUAUAAAAGAAGAAAGAAAUAGAUAGGUGUACAAAUAAACCAAUUAGCAUUAUCACACAACUAUAAAAUGAGAGAGCACCUACACGUUAAUAUGGAAAUAGACAAAAUAAUAGGGGAAAAAGAGAGGAUAGACAGUGAUAAUAGAUAGAUAGAUAGAAUAAGAGGAGAAAGAUACACAGUGAGAACGGAAAUAAGUGGAAGGGAAAAUCAACCGGUCCAGAUUUUGUGAAAGAAAAGGCGGAUGAGCUGGGGAGGGAACAAGGAGGAGGGAUACAGGCUUUGGUUUAGUAGGAGGGAGGAGAAGGAGGAGGGGGAAGAUGAGCAGGAGGAAGAAUAAUAAAAAGGGAGAGAAAAAAGGACAAUGGUGAGGAAGAGGGAAUGAAAGAAAAGUGAACUAGGAGGAACAGUAGAUAAAGGAGGAGGAGGAGGAGGAAUAAAACUUUCCUUCAGGUCAACCUCAUCAGGUCUCUUGGUGACUCACGCGGCCAUCAUUGCUUUUCCUCCUCCUCUUCUUCCUUCUCCUCUUCCUCCUACUCCCCCUUCUUCUUCUCUUCCUUUUCCUAUUCUUUAAUUUUCUCCAGCUCUAUUUUUUCUUCGUUUUCCUUCUUCACCCUCCUCCUCUUACUCUUCUUUCUCCUACUCUUCCUUUUCUUUCUCCUCCCCUUACUCUUAUUUCUCCUCUUCUUCCAUUUUCCCUGCUCAAUGUCUUCCUCUUCCUCUUCCUUCUCCUC
Molecule: long non-coding RNA, 2028 nt
Organism: Eriocheir sinensis (Chinese mitten crab)
Lineage: Eukaryota; Metazoa; Arthropoda; Malacostraca; Decapoda; Varunidae
Exons: 6
Source: RefSeq, a predicted model, not a curated record